GACGAACGCUGGCGGCGUGCCUAAUACAUGCAAGUAGAACGCUGAAGAGAGGAGCUUGCUCUUCUUGGAUGAGUUGCGAACGGGUGAGUAACGCGUAGGUAACCUGCCUUGUAGCGGGGGAUAACUAUUGGAAACGAUAGCUAAUACCGCAUAACAAUGGAUGACACAUGUCAUUUAUUUGAAAGGGGCAAUUGCUCCACUACAAGAUGGACCUGCGUUGUAUUAGCUAGUAGGUGAGGUAACGGCUCACCUAGGCGACGAUACAUAGCCGACCUGAGAGGGGGAUCGGCCCCACGGGACCUGAGACCCGGCCCAGCCCCCUCCGGGGGGCAGCCGUAGGGAAUCUUCGGCAAUGGGGGCAACCCUGACCGAGCAACGCCGCGUGGGUGAAAAAGGUUUUCGGAUCGUAAAGCUCUGUUGUAAGUCAAGAACGGGUGUGAGAGGGGAAAGUUCACACUGGGACGGUAGUUUACCAAAAAGGGACGGCUAACUACGU
Molecule: ribosomal RNA, 496 nt
Filed under: uncultured bacterium
Lineage: Bacteria
Description: partial 16S ribosomal RNA
Rfam family: Bacterial small subunit ribosomal RNA
Source: RNAcentral